UUGCGGCCUCUCCAGCCACAGUCACCGAUGUGGCUACUCAGAUGGAGGGCUCAGGGAAACACACCACCAACCAGGUCUUGGGCUGCAGGGUGUGCCUGAGUCUUCUGUCGGUAUCUGACAGCAGCAGCGAGGGGUAUGCCUGUGGGAGGUGUGCCCAGACUGAAUUGCUGCUCAGCCAGGUAGUGGAGCUUCGGGAGGAGGUGAGCAGGCUCAGGAGCAUCAGGGAGUCAGAGAGGGAAAUUGACUGGUGGAGGUGUACUCUACCCUCUCUGAGACAGACUCAGGAGCCUGCCACAGCACAAAUGUCUCCUGCUACGCAGAAGACAAAAGUUCCCUCAUCCCGCCAGGCAGUAGGAGGAGACCUAGGCCAAGGGGGGGAAUGGAGGCAGGUUCCUGUUCGGGGUGGUAGGCGAGCCCUGUCCCUGCCCACCUCACCUUCCCAUCUACCCUUAUGUAACAGGUACGAGGCUCUAGAACACCACAGUCAGAACAAUGAAGUAGACAAAGGCCCGUCCCAGUUGGAGAGGGUGCCUAAGGCAAGGCAACCUACCCCCCACAUUGCUACAUCAUCUGUCAAAAAAGAAAGAAGGGUUAUUGUCAUGGGGGACUCCCUUUUGAAAGGGACAGAGGGCCCAAUAUGCCGGCCAGACCCAACCCACAGGGAAGUCUGUUGCCUCCCUGGGGCUUGGGUAGAGACUUCACUAAGAAAGUCAAGCGUAUGGAAUGGCCCACCGACUACUACCCGCUACUGGUCUUUCAGGCUGGUAAUGACGAGGUAGCAACGAGAAGUCCAAGAGUGAUCAAAAGGGACUUUAGGGCUUUGGGGCGACUAUUUAAAGGAUCAGGGGCACAGGUUGUGUUUGCGUCUGUCCUUCCAAUAGGGGGGAUCGAUGCUGACAAGCAGACUCGUCACAUUAACACAUGGCUUCCAGACUGGUGCAACCGGCAGAAUUUUGGGUUUUCGAUCACGGGAAGGUCUAUGCGACACCGGGCCUGCUGGCACCAGAUGGGAUGCGCCUCUCUCAGAGAGGGGUGAGGAUUUUUGCUCAGGAGUUGGCAGGGCUAAUAGAUAGGGCUUUAAACUAGAGUUGAAGGGGGAAGGGGAUAAAAC
This 1111-nucleotide long non-coding RNA is filed under the name Anser brachyrhynchus (Pink-footed goose). Its description in RNAcentral is "lncRNA (ENSABRG00000004480.1)". Lineage: Eukaryota; Metazoa; Chordata; Aves; Anseriformes; Anatidae. The record is from RNAcentral.